Molecule: ribosomal RNA, 439 nt
Filed under: uncultured bacterium
Lineage: Bacteria
Description: partial 16S ribosomal RNA
Rfam family: Bacterial small subunit ribosomal RNA
Source: RNAcentral
CUACGGGAGGCUCCAGUGAGGAAUAUUGCACAAUGGGGGGAACCCUGAUGCAGCAACGCCGCGUGGAGGAUGACGCAUUUCGGUGUGUAAACUCCUUUUAUAUGUCAAGAAAAUGACGGUAGCAUAUGAAUAAGCACCGGCUAACUCCGUGCCAGCAGCCGCGGUAAUACGGAGGGUGCAAGCGUUACUCGGAAUCACUGGGCGUAAAGGACGCGUAGGCGGGUUGGAAAGUCAGGUGUGAAAUCCUACAGCUUAACUGUAGAACUGCACUUGAAACUUCUAAUCCAGAGUAUGGGAGAGGGAGAUGGAAUUAGUGGUGUAGGGGUAAAAUCCGUAGAUAUCACUAGGAAUACCUAAAGCGAAGGCGAUCUCCUGGAACAUUACUGACGCUAAGGCGUGAAAGCGUGGGGAGCAAACAGGAUUAGAUACCCGAGUAGUC